AUUAUCAUUCCCCCCUCCAUCUCUUCCUCUCUCUCUCGUCGACAAAAAAAAGGGGAGCUCUCAAUCUCGUCGCCUUCCACCCCCCGCUGUUCCGUCACCGCUGCGAUUCCGGCGAUGAGAGUCACGGCUCUCGUUCUCCCUUUCCUUCCACAAGGAAAGAAACCCCCAAAUUUUCCGUCGCCGUCACCCGAUUCACCACAGAAUCGACGGUCGUCUUCAGCGUCCAGCCACCGCCCCCAAUCCGCCGGAAGAGCUGUUGCUGUCGCCGCUGCACAGAGUCGGGCUGCUGUUCGCUGCUGUCGCCGCUGCACAGAGCCGGGCUGCUGUUCGCUGCUGUCGCCGCUGCACAGAGCCGGGCUGCUGUUCGCCGCCGUCGCCGUCUGCACCGAGCCGUCGGCUGCUGUUCGCCGCUGCUCCUUCGGUGGUCGUGCAGCCCCGAAACAUCACCACAGCCCCCGAUUUGUCCCGAAACCAAUCCGAACAGCCCCGAAACGUCCCGCAAGAUAAGUUCUCUUUUAUCAAAUUAUGUUCUUUCGCAUUUUUGAUCGGUUACAGCGGGUGUUCAAUUUGUGAUGUUCGAUUGGUGUUAUUGUUCAUAGCGUUCCAAGUUUCGAUUGUUGAUUGAGUUACGUGAAGGAGUUGAAUUUGGCAGCAUAUGUUAUGUACCGAUAUGCUAUGCUUAUGAAAGUAUAUGAAAGUAAUUGAUCGACUACAAAGGGGUAUACGUUGUUGGAAACUGAACUUGGUGGUAGGGACGUUUGGGAAGAGUGUUGAAUGAGGGAUUUGGCAGCUCCUUGACUCUUGUGAUUUGUAGGGAUUUAAAACAAGUUCUUACACUCUCUUUCUCUUCCGACUCUAUACUUUAAUUGUUGGAGGAUUUUCAAAUAUGGAGAUAAGAAAGUGUUGUGGUGAAAGAAACAAAGGAGACAACUACUGUGCCCUGUUCUGGUAGCAUGUUACAAGUCCCGUUUAACCAAGUAAACGACCUCAUUUUCUUACCAAAUUUUAACUGAACAUACUUCUGUGUGUCUUUUGCUAUGUGGCCAAAAUUCAGCUUCAUCCGAAUUGAAAUGAAUUUAUAAUGAAUUUUGAAAGGGGACUGCGCUGUUCAGCUAGGUUUGGGUAUAUUGUGCUGUUUUCAGCUGCUGGUUUUGAAGUUUUCGACACCCUUAAGUUGUUGCAAAUUGUAUUUUCAAAUUUUCUGCAUGAACCUUGAUGUGUUGGGGAGCUCUUUGUAAAAUUUCAACUUAUUUGGAUGUCAUUUACUAUUUUUAGAAAAUCUCCAAACACAGCUGCCAGAACAUGUCAGGUCGUGAUGAACAGUGGGAAAAUGGCCAUAUCUCCCGACCUACUGGAAUUUUUGAAAGAACUUUGUUUUAAAAUUAAACUAGACACCAAGAGGAUUCUUUUGGUAUAGGGCUUGAUCUCUUAUACUCCGUGCAAAAGAAGUAACUAAAGAGAACUUGUUUAUUGCUUAAGUUAUUUUUGGUGUUGUGUUGAUAAGAAUUAUUUAUUGAAGGGUAAUCCUGGCCCGAGGGAUAGCAUGGGCAAGGAGAAGGCGAAGAAGUAAAGUGACCUAGUACGACAUUUUGGAUUUCGAGAUUAGCUCUUUCGAUGUACAACUGCUCAAGUCGGGUCACUAGCCAACCUUUUUGUGUUCAGAAAAUUCUUUCCGAUAUACUAGAUGUGGUAUGUAUAGAAAGUGUAAUGUAGUUCGGACGUUUCAUUUACUUCGCCAUCCAGGUUAUAUAAAUAUAUAUAUAUAUAGACUUUGGAAACAAGUUUAUGGUCUAAUUUCAGACGAUAUAUAGCUGUUUGCCAAGUAAAGGAAAAUAAUAUCUCUCUAUAAAAAAAGUAUCAAGGAUUUUCCGUUAA
Molecule: long non-coding RNA, 1875 nt
Organism: Salvia splendens (bonfire salvia)
Lineage: Eukaryota; Viridiplantae; Streptophyta; Magnoliopsida; Lamiales; Lamiaceae
Exons: 2
Source: RefSeq, a predicted model, not a curated record